Bolinopsis microptera is the source of this 891-nucleotide long non-coding RNA. RefSeq lists it as uncharacterized. The transcript is spliced from 4 exons. NCBI's taxonomy places the organism in Eukaryota, Metazoa, Ctenophora, Tentaculata, Lobata, Bolinopsidae. The record is from RefSeq and is a predicted model, not a curated record.
AAAAAUUUAAUGUACUUUCGUAAAAUAAUUUUGAUGUGGCAGCGAUUUGAAAAGGAAAUUAGUUAAAAAUAAUACAAAAAAAUCGGACAUUUUUUGAUAUUAAAACAUGAAUAACUUGGGCUGUGUUGACAGUAGAAAAAUUUAUUAACCUCUAUCCGACAGCUUUAAAAUUUUUCUACGCGCCGCGCAAAUCCACGCGCGCAUUUUAGCGUGUCAAAAUCGUUUAAAACUAGAAUUAGUUGAUGAAGGAGCAUAAUGCAGAUCAUACGUUGUACGUGUGGCUUGAACAUUAUGAUUUCGCGCCAUUUCUUGUUUCUGCACUCGCUUUGAACUUUCAUGGCUUUAACAGCAGUUAUCGACUGACGACUUUGCUGUAUUACAUAGUGUACUUGGUACAUAAUUGAUCAACGAUAAUAGGAGGAACCCCUGCAAGCUAUAAAGGGCUCGUGUUACUUUAACAUCACUUUUGAAUUUCACGAAAGCAGAUAAAAGUUUUAGUGACGUUGCAGAAACUCCGGAAUACUGUGGAUUGGGAGGAGGAGAAAGUGAUAAUUCUGUUAUAUGGCCUGUUUCUAGGACACGAUAAACUUCCUAAUAAGUUAACAACUCUACCUCGAUUCGAUGCAGUGCACAGUGGGAAAGGUUGAAGUUGACGUUCAAGCAGUCACCCUGCCGAACAAGAAAUCUUUCAGGCCAAGAGGCUAGGUGACUAGAAACUCAAUCACUAUAUCCGUGAAACUUGUCGGGAGCACUGUUAUUUGUGGAGGUCGGACCGAAACUGUAAUCAGACACUAAACAUUGACGAGGACCAAUUACUCUACUCUUUAUAUGAUUAAUAAAGAUCGCUGAUUGCUUUUACUAAUGUAUAAUGUUAAAAUGAAAGAGAAACUA